GUUGUGCUGCUGCUGCCCGCUGUCCGAGCCCUCCGUCCCGCCUCCGCUUUCCAUCUUCUGUCGGAGAUGGAGUCUCCGUUCCUUGGGCGAGGCGAAGAAGAGGAUGGCUGUCUAUGACAUUAACUAGCCGGUUCCUGCUCCGAGGACUUGUGGGUGAGAAACAAGAGAGGCAGUGUGGUCUCUCCCUUCCUCCCUCCCUCUCUCUCUCUCUCUCUCUCUCUCUCUCUCUCUCUCUCUCUCCCCGCCCAGAUAACGGGAUGUAGCCCUGGAGGAGAGAGAGAGAGAGAAGAAUCUCCUUUCUGCAGCUCUCUGCCGCCACCAUUGCAGGAUACUGGAAGGACACAAGGAGGAGGCAGAAGAAAACCAGGUAGCCUGCGGAUGCUCUGAGUGAUGGAUGGAGAGCAGGAUUCACCAUGGCUCGCUAUGCAUCACUUGGAAGCUCAAUAAAGAUAAAAUGGGAGCUAUUGCAUUGAAAAUACACUUUAAGAGUUUAACGUAGCCUAUACGCUGCGGUUCAGUGUUUUGCAGCCCCAAAAUGACAUGACAUGACCAUCUUGCUGCUGUCUGCACACUGUCAACAUUAAUUGUUUAUGUUUACUUUGAUGGAUAGAUAUUUACAUGUUUUGUACAUGUCAUAGCACAGUUUUUGGAGCCCCAGCUGCAACUUGUGUCCCCAGAGAAGCUUUUCUACCUAUUUUUUUGGCGCAAUGCCUUCUUGCACUGUAUGAAAUUAAAUCAUCAACACAACUUUUUUUAAUUGCUGUAAGGACAACAGCAUGUAGCAGCUUCCCAACCUGGUCAACAGAUGCACACACAAUAGACAAAAGAGAGAAAACACGACUAAAAAGAAGGUUGACAAAAAAAUCGACUUAAAAACUAUAUGUGGAAUACAUGAAUACCGUCAAUAAUACAUGAAAUACAAUACAGUUUUCACAGAAUCAGAUAUACAUCACAGUGAACAUGAAACCCAUAAUUAGGUUUGGCAAAAGUGUGUGUCUCAUGAUUAAAUUCUAAUAAUCCUGUUAUGUAUUCCUCGAAUUUGAGACUGAAAAAGAAAUGAUAAUAAGUGGGGUACUGACACAUUUUAUUGGCUGAUUGCUGAUGGGUUGUAGUGAGUACAGUCUUAAAUAGCCACAAAUCUGUAAAUUGUCGCAAUAUGUCAUAAUGUCAUUUACAGAUUUGUGGAUAUUAUUUAAUAUCCAAAUAAAUCAAAUUACCUUUUGAUGCAGGGUUAUUUUAAUGGUAUGUCUGUAUACUGACACACAGUUGCUCCCAUCAUUAUUAAUUCACCUCCUUUCUGUUGUGGGAGGUCAGAGGGUCACCUGACUCCAUGAGGGACCCCAUGGUAACACAGUACAGUAAGUCUCAGGUUACCUCUCUCUCAAUUCAAUUCAGUUCAAAGGGACAUUAUUGGCAUGGGAAACAGACGUAUAUUGCCAAAGCAAGUGUGAAAUAAUAACAAAAAGAUGUACAUUAAUAGAUUAGAAGACAUAACUUAGUGUAAAAUUGAGAAAUGCUGGCUUGCAGUCAGACAAAUGUAAAAACAUAUAAGUGAGAACUAUAUAAACACUGUAACUUUAAAAUAAAUAUUUGUUCUGUAUGUGUGUACAGUGUGUCUAUGUACAGAGAUCAAUGGUUGUCCUCCAGUGGAUGCCCUUCUCCUGUCUUUGUUUUUGUUAUUAGCCAUAUUUUAGUCUACAUAGGUGGUUGGACUCUCUCUUUUUCUUUUUCUCUCGUCAGAUAUCAGCUAGAAAGAAAAGAAGGCCAACAGUAUUAUUAAAACCAGAUACUAAACAUGCCUGGCUGAUCAAUCAGAAGUGUGUCUAAAAUGGGGAUAUCAGUCUCUCACCAGCAGUGGCUGAGUGGGAGGGUGGCUUUAAACUAUGAAGUUUAGCUAUUAAUAUACUUAUAAGUAUAGUAAGAGUUAUUGUUUACAUUAGACAUGAAGCUAUAAGGUUUUGGUAGGUAUGAGUGAGGUUUAGUGUGUAGGCAGGAAUCCAGUACUGAUCCUAAAGCCCAACAACCCUCAAAAUACAAGACAAUAUUGUAAUGUAACAGAAAAAAAGUCUACAGCUGCUCUGUGAGGCUGUACGUAGGCACCAUAUGGAACCCUUUAUUAAUGCUGAGAGGUAAUCUAAAUGAUUUAUAUUAUGUCUAAUAGGUUAAAAAAAAAAACAUCUGGUCCGUUCUUAGCUUGUAACAUCUUUAAGGUUAGGUUGCAGGUUAGGCCUUUAGUAUGUGAAGGACUUAACACAUUUAUUUUAUUUGAAUGCAACGUUUCCAACUCCCACACUAUACAGUAAGAAUAAAGGAAGCUUAAGCUUCCACAGUUCUUAUGGUCUUGUGUGACAGUCGCCUUCCACUGGCUUAACCAGUUAUAAUUAGUUUCCCAGUCUUUGUUGUAGCUGUAUUUCCCUGGUUUCUUCACAGCCAUUGUAUAAAAGCCAUGUGUUAGAAAAAGCAUCUGUCCUGCAGUGAUUUGACUUUUGAAAACUAGAGCCAAUCGAAAUGUGGGGGAUCGUCUCAAUAUGUGGGGGAUCAUGAAUGUCAGAAUUUUCUGGAAAUCCAUCUAAUGUGCAGACAUUCCUCUAAAAGCCAAAAAUGUCCUGCAAUAUAGAAACCAUUAACUUUUUAUUACCUCUUUGUUAGACUAUGCAAGAAGUUGUGACAUCAUGAAGUAGCCUACUGUUUAGUUAUUAAUUCAUGAAAUGCUUUAUUACAUUCCCUUAUACAACAUCUUUCUUGGUACAUAUGUAUACUGAGCAAGUAUAGGAAGGAUGAAGUUGAUGGGUAAAAAUGUAUUUCUGCUGUAUUUUCCACAAGUGAAUGUCAUCUCCAGCUAUUAACAGAUGGUUUGUUUUAUUAUUAAGAAGCAGAGUGGGUCCUCCUCUGAUCCCACCUAUUCCCUAUCUCUAAUAAUAACCUCUCCAUGUGCUGUGUCUCCUCAAUAGUAUGACUGCAUAUAUAAGCUCUUACACACUAUCACAUUCCAUUAUAACUUCCAAUAUAAAUGUAACAGCAUAGAUUUUCAUGUUUACUCUCUGUUCUUGAUCUUUUGUUUCAGUUGUGGCUGUUUGUGAAACUGUGAUCAUCAUAAGAUCAAAGUCUCAUCAUCAAAAAGCCAAUGCAAGAUGUCGAUACAGUCUGCGGUGGCAGAAUCACCCUCUGUGAAUCAUUUAUGAGCAGAAACACUAGACCAGCAAACACAGAAUUAGAGCAGCUAGAAUAGAGUUCAGCACUGGUCACUGGCCAUUUGUUGUUUACCAGACAAUAAAGUGGGUCUUGUUUGAUGUGAUUGUACUGUGACGAUAACCAGACUAAUGCAUGACUCAAAGACAAAACUGAUUAUGGUGCCAUUAUGCUCUCGGUCCACGUUAGGCAGUCAUGUAUCAUUGCCAGGUUUCAACUGGUUGUUUUAACUUGAGAGAUCACAUGGUUCUGUAUGAACAGAGAAAACGAUUCCUAUACAUGUAUAGUCUACAUCUCAACAGCAUAGUGCCAUUAGUGCUACAAUAACCAUUGUCAUUGAUAUAUAUGGAGCAUUAUGAGGUCAGAAAAUCACCUUUGGCUCAGUUGAUCAAAGAACAAUUUAUAUACUGGCUCUAUCCUGAAUCCAAUCUGUGCUGGAGCCUUUCUCUCACACUAAACUGUAUUAAAGAAAGAAAAAUCUUUAAA
Long non-coding RNA from Dicentrarchus labrax (European seabass), 3675 nucleotides. RefSeq lists it as uncharacterized. The record is from RefSeq and is a predicted model, not a curated record. NCBI's taxonomy places the organism in Eukaryota, Metazoa, Chordata, Actinopteri, Moronidae. The transcript has 2 exons.